GUGGAGACUAACUAUGAAAUGCUUACUGACAGAGACUUACCAACAAAGCGGCCGCGUAGCCUAGUGGUUAGAGUGUAGGGGCGGCAGCGUAGCCUAGUAGUUAGAGUGUAGGGGCGGCAGCGUGGCCUAGUGGAUAGAGUGUAGGGGCGGCAGGUAGCCUAGUGGUUAGAGUGGAGGGGCGGCAGGUAGCCUAGUGGUUAGAGUGGAGGGGCGGCAACGUAGCCUAGUGGUUAGAGUGUAGGGACAGGCAGGUAGCCUAUUGGUUAGAGUGGAGGGGCAGCAGCGUAGCCUAGUGGCUAGAGUGUAGGGGCGGCAGCGUAACCUAGUGGUUAGAGUGUAGGGGCGGCAGGUAGCCUAGUGGUUAGAGUGGAGGGGCGGCAGGUAGCCUAGUGGUUAGAGUGGAGGGGCGGCAGGGUAGCCUAGUGGUUAGAGUGGAGGGGCGGCAACGUAGCCUAGUGGUUAGAGUGUAGGGACAGGCAGGUAGCCUAUUGGUUAGAGUGGAGGGGCAGCAGCGUAGCCUAGUGGCUAGAGUGUAGGGGCGGCAGCGUAACCUAGUGGUUAGAGUGUAGGGGCGGCAGGUAGCCUAGUGGUUAGAGUGGAGGGGCGGCAGGUAGCCUAGUGGUUAGAGUGGAGGGGCGGCAGGGUAGCCUAGUGGUUAGAGUGUAGGGGCGGCAGCGUAGCCUAGUGGUUAGAGUGUAGGGGCGGCAGGUAGCCUAGUGGUUAGAGUGUAGGGGCGGCAGCGUAGCCUAGUGGUUAGAAUGUAGGGGCGGCAGGGUAGCCUAGUGGUUAGAGUGUAGGGGCGGCAA
Oncorhynchus tshawytscha (Chinook salmon) is the source of this 806-nucleotide long non-coding RNA. The record is from Ensembl. Lineage: Eukaryota; Metazoa; Chordata; Actinopteri; Salmoniformes; Salmonidae.